This 341-nucleotide ribosomal RNA is filed under the name uncultured bacterium. Its description in RNAcentral is "bacterial SSU rRNA". It matches the Rfam family "Bacterial small subunit ribosomal RNA", at positions 249 to 593 of the family's 1533-position model. The record is from RNAcentral.
UUGGUGAGGUAACGGCCCACCAAGGCUUCGACGGGUAGCCGGCCUGAGAGGGUGACCGGCCACACUGGGACUGAGACACGGCCCAGACUCCUACGGGAGGCAGCAGUGGGGAAUAUUGGACAAUGGGCGAAAGCCUGAUCCAGCAACGCCGCGUGAGGGAUGACGGCCUUCGGGUUGUAAACCUCUUUCAGUACCGACGAAGCGCCUGUAAGGGUGGUGACGGUAGGUACAGAAGAAGGACCGGCCAACUACGUGCCAGCAGCCGCGGUAAUACGUAGGGUCCGAGCGUUGUCCGGAAUUAUUGGGCGUAAAGGGCUCGUAGGCGGUCUGUCGCGUCGGGA